GACGAACGCUGGCGGCGUGCUUAACACAUGCAAGUCGAACGGAAAGGCCCUGCUUUUGUGGGGUGCUCGAGUGGCGAACGGGUGAGUAACACGUGAGUAACCUGCCCUUGACUUUGGGAUAACUUCAGGAAACUGGGGCUAAUACCGGAUAGGAGCUCCUGCUGCAUGGUGGGGGUUGGAAAGUUUCGGCGGUUGGGGAUGGACUCGCGGCUUAUCAGCUUGUUGGUGGGGUAGUGGCUUACCAAGGCUUUGACGGGUAGCCGGCCUGAGAGGGUGACCGGCCACAUUGGGACUGAGAUACGGCUCAGACUCCUACGGGAGGCAGCAGUGGGGAAUAUUGCACAAUGGGCGGAAGCCUGAUGCAGCAACGCCGCGUGCGGGAUGACGGCCUUCGGGUUGUAAACCGCUUUCGCCUGUGACGAAGCGUGAGUGACGGUAAUGGGUAAAGAAGCACCGGCUAACUACGUGCCAGCAGCCGCGGUGAUACGUAGGGUGCGAGCGUUGUCCGGAUUUAUUGGGCGUAAAGGGCUCGUAGGUGGUUGAUCGCGUCGGAAGUGUAAUCUUGGGGCUUAACCCUGAGCGUGCUUUCGAUACGGGUUGACUUGAGGAAGGUAGGGGAGAAUGGAAUUCCUGGUGGAGCGGUGGAAUGCGCAGAUAUCAGGAGGAACACCAGUGGCGAAGGCGGUUCUCUGGGCCUUUCCUGACGCUGAGGAGCGAAAGCGUGGGGAGCGAACAGGCUUAGAUACCCUGGUAGUCCACGCUGUAAACGGUGGGUACUAGGUGUGGGGUCCAUUCCACGGGUUCCGUGCCGUAGCUAACGCUUUAAGUACCCCGCCUGGGGAGUACGGCCGCAAGACUAAAACUCAAAGGAAUUGACGGGGCCCCGCACAAGCGGCGGAGCAUGCGGAUUAAUUCGAUGCAACGCGUAGAACCUUACCUGGGUUUGACAUGGAUCGGGAGUGCUCAGAGAUGGGUGUGCCUCUUUUGGGGUCGGUUCACAGGUGGUGCAUGGCUGUCGUCAGCUCGUGUCGUGAGAUGUUGGGUUAAGUCCCGCAACGAGCGCAACCCUUGUUCACUGUUGCCAGCACGUUAUGGUGGGGACUCAGUGGAGACCGCCGGGGUCAACUCGGAGGAAGGUGGGGAUGACGUCAAGUCAUCAUGCCCCUUAUGUCCAGGGCUUCACGCAUGCUACAAUGGCUGGUACAGAGAGUGGCGAGCCUGUGAGGGUGAGCGAAUCUCGGAAAGCCGGUCUCAGUUCGGAUUGGGGUCUGCAACUCGACCUCAUGAAGUCGGAGUCGCUAGUAAUCGCAGAUCAGCAACGCUGCGGUGAAUACGUUCCCGGG
This 1343-nucleotide ribosomal RNA is filed under the name uncultured bacterium. Its description in RNAcentral is "16S ribosomal RNA". It matches the Rfam family "Bacterial small subunit ribosomal RNA", at positions 28 to 1378 of the family's 1533-position model. The record is from RNAcentral.